RNAcentral lists this long non-coding RNA (407 nucleotides) under Setaria italica (foxtail millet). Its description in RNAcentral is "long non-coding RNA (SITA_LNC006429)". The record is from RNAcentral. Lineage: Eukaryota; Viridiplantae; Streptophyta; Magnoliopsida; Poales; Poaceae.
CCAUCAUCAUGAACUUUCUCCGUUUGAUCUACCCUGUUACACACCCUCACGUCGCGAGCGCCAGGCCCGAUCCUCUGUGGCCACCGGCCCACAUAGCACGAAGCGUCUAGCGACGCGCGCGCUGGGAUUCGGUGAACCGGUGGGCGCGCGGCCUGGUCUCCCUCUUCUUCCCCGCCCGUUCGGCAACUCAACUCGAGGUCUCCGAUAGUGCGGCCGCUCGUCGACCUCGCCAUCCCUUGGUAUCACAUCGUCGCCCCGGCCCGCCCGAACAAUUUCUAUGGCCGGCGUCGGUGCUGCCUCCCUCUCGUGGCCGAUCGCCAUGCCGUCGCCCGCUGCUACCCGUCGGCUCCGCCGGUCGCCAGGGCCAGCCUCUCGUGCGCGCGCCGCGCUUCUCACGUGUUCCCGUC